GUGUCAGCCGCCGCGGUAAGACGAAGGGGGCUAGCGUUGUUCGGAAUUACUGGGCGUAAAGCGCGUGCAGGCGGUUAUCCAAGUUGGAUGUGAAAGCCUUGAGCUCAACUCAAGAAAUGCAUUCAGGACUGGGUGACUAGAGGACCGGAGAGGAUAGUGGAAUUCCCAGUGUAGUGGUGAAAUACGUAGAGAUUGGGAAGAACACCAGUGGCGAAGGCGGCUAUCUGGACGGUUUCUGACGCUGAGACGCGAAAGCGUGGGGAGCAAACAGGAUUAGAAACCCCGGUAGUCC
Molecule: ribosomal RNA, 292 nt
Filed under: uncultured bacterium
Lineage: Bacteria
Description: partial 16S ribosomal RNA
Rfam family: Bacterial small subunit ribosomal RNA
Source: RNAcentral